AUUAAAAAAAAAAAAAAAAAGGGGUUAGGGCCAUUUCAUGCCGCAUGUGUGUCCGGCCCAUAAAUUCCUGAAUAAAGAGUCCAAGAGAAAGACAAAAUCGCCAAUGGUACUUCUGCACAUCUUCUUCACACAUGCGUGACGCGGACCAAAUUCCUUCGAAUAAUAAUCACAAUGCACUGAAAAAUUCAGUUAAUUAACAUGAUUUCUUCUUUAGAACUUCAAGAACCGAUUGUGCAGUGCAAUAGGCAAUAGCCUGAACUGUGACCAUCGGAUUCAGUCCUAAAGCAGUUGGAAACACACUUGUAUCUGCUAUAAACAGUCCCUCUACCUCCCAUGUCUCUCCCAUCUGGUUCACCACUGAGUCCUUUGGAUUCACACCCAUUCUGCAGCUCCCCAUCUGAUGUGCUGAACAUAUCUGUGUUGAUAAAUCUCUUAGUGGUCUUACACUUUCUUCUUUCACAAACUUCUCAAACUCAUGGUAGCUCACUUUUUUAGCAUUUAUGCUUCUCCCUUCGAAGUGAUGUGUUCCAAUUUCUUCAGCACCUGCUGCUGCCAAUAUCCUUAGCAUCUUCUCCAUUCCUUUCUGCAGAUUCUCCUCAUCAGAAUCUUCCAUUUGAUAAGAUAUUGAGCUUGGAGAAUUCACUGUUCCUUUUCCUUUGUCUCUUGCCAAUGCAAAUAUGUGUGCAGUCCUUGAAAACCGGCACAUUUUCAUUUUCAUAUCGAUUCCUGAGACCCAUGGCAUCAGGCCUGAGAACAUACCUGGAUGCAAUGAUGGUGUCUGUAUAACUGCACCAUAUCCAGACUUGUCAUGAUUUGCAACGACCGUAGACAUUGCUGUCAUUAUCCCUCCUUCAUAACUCUUUUUCUCUUCCUCCGGCCAGGAGAACGGUGCAUCAGGGAAGUAGCCCCAAGCCAUUAUCACUGGAUGAAGAUGUAGAUUUUUGCCAAUGUUAGGAUUUUCCAAACCACUCCUUUUCAAUAAAGGAGGAGUACUGAGAGCACCACAUGCAACAAUAGUCACUUUUGAUUCAACCACAUACAAGUCUUUUGCCCCCUUGUACUCGAAUUCGAAAGCAACUCCGCUUGCUUUUUUUCGACUAUUUCUUCCUCUCUUUUGCUUGUGCAAUACCUUGAUGGCCUCACACCUGGGAAGAAUUGCCCCAUUACCUGAAUUCACUAAAUCCAAUAGCCAGGUCUCACAAGUGCUUUUCUUUCUUCCAUCCUUGCAGCCAAGAGAACACCAGCCACAGUAAUGAUCUGGUGAGGAAUUUCGAGGAAUGGUGUUUACAGGAUAACCCAGUUCUUGGCAUCCUUUUCUUAGAACGGCGUUAUUGAGACCUUCUUUAUGAAUUCCUGAUUGAACACCCAUUUUCUGGCAUACAACAUCCAAUGCUUCUUUGUACAAUUCACUAUCAAAUAUCUCUAGAUCGUAUUGAUCACUCCAUUCAUUUAUCACAUGUUGUGGGGUUCUGAUAGAAGAUGACCAAUUGAUUGCAGAACCUCCACCAACUGUAGAUCCUGCAAGUAUUAUAACCCCCAUAUCAUCAGUUGCCAUUUGACCACCAGCUAGGUACAUUUGAUCCAUCGUUGGCCCUUCAAGGAGGGAAAGAUUGUUUCUUGCACAAUAAUUUCCCUUCUCAAUUACAAGCACUUUAUAACCAGCUUUUGCAAGAACACCAGCAACCACACCGCCACCGCAACCAGAACCAACUACAACUGCAUCACAUUUGAUAAACAAAGAAGGAUUAGAUGAGCCGCAGGGUGCAUUAUUUUUGGAUCGGCGAGUAAGGACAGGAAAUCCAGCAAGCCGGAGAGUGUUUGCAAGUAUGUCUCGUGGAAGGUUCAUAUUAACAAGUCCUUUGUGAAGAGGUCCAUAGAGUUUUUGCUCGUCAUCAUUUGGAGAUAGCUUUAAAGCUUUGAAUUGUGGGUCAGGUCCUGGAUAGCCUAUUGCUUUCCAUGUCAGGUUCUCAUUUUUCUCAUCUACCUGAGAGAAGAAGAAAAAUAAAGCGAGAAGUUUAAUAGUCUUGAAAGCCAUCCUGAUGAGGUAGAAAAAGCUGAGAGACCAAGAAUGCAAAAUCUGUUCCCUUUUGUGGAGAGGAAGUUGAGAGAAAGUUUGAAAAUAGGGAAAAUGGAUUGAAAUGCUUGGUAGGCCGCAGAGAAUGAAGGUUCCAAUCCUUCUAGAAAGCAUCCAUAGUGCCAACCGAAUCAACCGCUUCUUUGGGUGCUUCCUUGUAGCUAUCACCUCUCCUACACGUUGAGGAAUUCCAGCCAUGGAAGCAGAAGUUUGGAAAAACCUGGCGAAAGACUCAUCAGAGGUUUUAAUAGAUGUUGAAGGCAAGAAGGUGUCACAGAUAGCUGUAAGAGAUUUCAUUUCUGCAGAGGAAAUUGACUUGAAAUAAAAGUAGUUCUCCAUCUCUUCUCCUUCAAUUAUAUCCGUUACAGUUGCUGAAGCACUUUUGUUUUCCCAAUUUCCCUUCCCAAAUCAAUUGUUU
Molecule: unclassified non-coding RNA, 2492 nt
Filed under: Hevea brasiliensis (rubber tree)
Lineage: Eukaryota; Viridiplantae; Streptophyta; Magnoliopsida; Malpighiales; Euphorbiaceae
Source: RNAcentral